CUGAAAUUCUGGGCCACGUCUUUCCUUUGUGUCACUCACAUCACCCAACCCAUUAACACCUGCUGAAUCUUCUCCCCAUCAGUCAUCAAUCAUGAGCAAUCAGUCAGACACUUGAUAAUUAACACAGAGAGGGAAAACACAAGGCUGAAAUUAUUUCUUUACGGUGGCUUCAUGCGUAAGCUCAAAUAGCAACGGGAAAGGUUUAAUGAGAGCCUCACUGACUGUACACCUGCAGAACAAACCCAUCAAAGUGGAAUCCAGCAGUACAUGGAACACAGAGCUUUUUCCCGUGGUUUUUAUGUCCUUCACUUGAAUUGCAACCCAGGGAUUGUGGUGCAAAAGGGGAUCUGAAGAUGGCUGAAAGCUUGAAGCAGAGCACGUGGAAAAGAUGCUGGAGGAUGACUUUGAAGCCUGUUGUUGUGAUGCACUUCUGUGGUCCUCAAAGUGUCAAUACUCUUAAAGGAAAGAUCCAUCACUGAAAAAGGCCUCUGUCAGCACUCUUCUUCACUGUCUGGAGUUGCUCUUGGUGGGACAGACUAUCUGCUACAGAGAGAGGCCAUAGGAUUGCAAGCUGCACUAAUUGCUGCCAGCAGAACAAUACUGAGACUCAUGAACGUGGGUUGUAAACAUGGUGGGCUUUUGUCAUGCACCAAUAUUCUUCACCAGGACCCUGCAUUUGCAUUUGCUGAGCUUCAGACUCUUCUUCUCUGCCCAGAAGAAGCAAUGAUUGGCCAUGGUAGUUGUCCAUGAGUGCUCAAUGAUAAGCCAACUUUAAGUCACACAGUUUCUUCAGUGGUAGAAUGACUCACCUCACUGUUAUAAAAUUGCAAGGAAAAAAAAAAUCUCAAAACAAAACCCAAGCAAAAACCCCCACUGAACCAAAGAAAAUGACAUAACACAGCACCCCUCCCCACCAAAAAAAACCCAAACAAACAAACCCAAACCCCAAACAACUUAAAAUCCCAAAGUUCUUAAAUCAAUGUUCAAAGUCAAGCAGGUGCUAUCAUGUGGCUGCCAUGUCUAAGGAGUAUCUGGACUGUAAACAGGAUGAUACUGGUGUAAAUUAAUGUAGUGCAUUAUGUGCAUUAAAUCUAUGAAGUUUUGAGCUUCAGGUUACAUAUUUGCAGGCUUCAUUUGCAUCACAUUACCUUUUUUUCCUGUUUCUAGGACUAUUCUUUGGAAGUUUUUGUGACCUAUUCAAUGUCCUCCUUGUUCUACCUUAAGAAUUGGGGCAGAUCUAUAAAGAAAGGAGCCAAAAUCCUUCAGCCCUCAGGAAACACACUUUGCUUUCUGGGCAGCUACGCUGAUCCUUUAGAAUUCCCACUAUUUCCAGUUAUUGAAUGAUUACCUAGUUUGGUGUCUAUGACCUACAGUGACAUUGAAUUUUAAUGCUGGACAAGGAUACACACAGGAGUAGCUUAAAACAAAUCUAGUCCAGAAGAGCAGUUAACAUGGCAGUUAUUCUGAGGAAAAUUUGAGUUGGGUGACUUUUUAAUAGUGUAUCAGUGGGACCACACAAAUAUUAUAAUGGUUAAAGCUAUGGAAGAUUAAAGAUCACUAGGAAAUUAUGAUUGAAAUGUGAACAGCUGCUGAAUAUCCAGCACUGUCCAACGUGUUCAUUAGGAAAAAAUAAUAAUUAUUUGAAUCUUCUGGAAGCUAAUUCUUUCUUACUAGAUUUUGUGUGAAGUAUGUGUAUUAAAUAGAAUAGAAAAAACUUUCAAGCCUCUGCAGUCCAGAGUCAGGAAGGUAAUAAAGGAAUGAACUGAAAUAAAAUAUUCCCA
This 1781-nucleotide long non-coding RNA is filed under the name Cyanistes caeruleus (blue tit). Its description in RNAcentral is "lncRNA (ENSCCEG00000000932.1)". The record is from RNAcentral. Lineage: Eukaryota; Metazoa; Chordata; Aves; Passeriformes; Paridae.